CACCUGCGCCACAAGUGGCAAUCGCAUUUAUUGGGCCUAAAGCGUUCGUAGCCGGAUCAGACAGUCUUGAGUGAAAUCGUUGCGCUUAACAAAACGACGUGCUUGAGAUACUACUGAUCUUGAGACCGGGAGGCGUUAGGGGUAUUCCUGAGGGAGCGGUAAAAUGCUAUAAUCUCAGGAGGACCACCUGUGGCGAAGGCGCCUAACGAGAACGGGUCUGACGGUGAGGAACGAAAGCUAGGGGAGCAAACCGG
This 254-nucleotide ribosomal RNA is filed under the name uncultured bacterium. RNAcentral's name for it is "partial 16S ribosomal RNA". It matches the Rfam family "Archaeal small subunit ribosomal RNA", at positions 474 to 727 of the family's 1478-position model. The record is from RNAcentral.